This 254-nucleotide ribosomal RNA is filed under the name uncultured bacterium. Its description in RNAcentral is "partial 16S ribosomal RNA". It matches the Rfam family "Bacterial small subunit ribosomal RNA", at positions 524 to 776 of the family's 1533-position model. The record is from RNAcentral.
UACGUAGGGGGCGAGCGUUGUCCGGAUUUAUUGGGCGUAAAGAGCUCGUAGGCGGUUCGGUAAGUCGGAUGUGAAAUCUCCACGCUCAACGUGGAGGGGCCAUUCGAUACUGCCGUGACUCGAGUCCGGUAGGGGAGUGUGGAAUUCCAGGUGUAGCGGUGAAAUGCGUAGAUAUCUGGAGGAACACCGGUGGCGAAGGCGGCAUCCUGGACCGGUAUUGACGCUGAGGCGCGAAAGCUAGGGGAGCAAACGGG